Molecule: long non-coding RNA, 773 nt
Organism: Mugil cephalus (flathead mullet)
Lineage: Eukaryota; Metazoa; Chordata; Actinopteri; Mugiliformes; Mugilidae
Exons: 2
Source: RefSeq, a predicted model, not a curated record
GGAGCAUGACGUCAAAGCUCCUCCCCCACAUUUGAGCGGUCUUUCGCCAGGUCCACGUUUCAAUGAGAUUGGCGGACUUUGUUAACUGAGACGGGGAAGACCUGGAACCAUGAAGGGUACAGAGGCAGCUCGAGAGGACCAGGCUGAGCAAGCCCUGAGGAUCUGUCUACCGCACAAGUGAAGAAGAUGAAGGUGCAUCCAACACUGAUGUGUUGAUUGUUGUUGAAGGGACUGAGGUACUUGGCAACUGUGGAAGUGUUGCAAGGGCCUGUCUCCUGCUGAUGGGCAUCAUUUAUGCCAUGAACUUGAGUUACCCACCAAAAAUUAAGUACAUGUUUGAAGUGUGCCAAAAGCUUCUUCUAGAGCUUGGUGUCCUUAAGCUGUCCCUGAAGAUCCUGUCCCUGCGAAACAAGCUUGAUAGCUUGAGUGCACAUGUUUGACCCAAGAGUUGUCCUUCCAAAGAGGACACUAAAAGAAAAAGAAAAAACUGCACAUUUGUUUACGUGGCUGUUUGUCUUUGUUCUCAUUUUAAUUACUGUAUUUUUAUUUCAACUUGUUGCACUGUUUUAAUGUGUGCUGUCUUCGGGUCGAGAGAGGGAGGAAGGGAAGUAAGAUCAGCAUUUUCAAGUUAAACCAGAGGUUGUCAACUGGUGGGUUGUGGGGCCAUUUUCAAAGGGUCGCGGAUGUGAGUGUUGUGUUGUUUGCAAGCCUUUUGGAAAAUGUUUUAUUGAAAAACAUGUUUUUUCACAGAAAAAUAAAGGUGCUGAAUUAAA